AGUUCGAUCCUGGCUCGGAAUUGAACGCUGGCGGGAUCUUUACAUGCAGAUGAACGGCAGCACGGACUUCGGUCUGGUGGCGGUGGCGAACGAUUGAGUAAUGUAUCGGAACGAUGCCUAACGGCGGGGAUAACUGCGCGGCAGCUGUACAUACGCCCUUCGAAGCAAGAGGACCUCGCGGCAACCCGAUAUCGGAUUAUGGCCGGGUAAGGUAACGGCUCACCAAGGCGACGAUCCGUAGCUGGUUUGAAGGACAUUGUCCAGCCACUGGGACUGGUGACCCGACUCUACAGGAGGUAGCAGUGGGGGAAUUUUGGACAAUGGGGAAACACAGCCAUCCCGCGAUGUGCGAUGAAGGCCUUCGGGUUGUAAAGCGCACGAGGAAAGAAACGGCACAAGGAUAAUACCCCGUGCAACUGACAAUACCUGCAAAUUAAGCACCAGCUAACUACAUUGCCACAGCAACCGCGGUAUGCAGUUAUGGCGUUAAUCCAGAUUGCUGGGUAAAGCGUGCGCAGGCGGUUCGGAAGAAGAUGUAGAAAUCCCAGAGCUUAACUUUAAGAACUGCAUUUUUAACUACCGAGUAGUGUGUGUGUCAGAGGGAGAGUGGAAUUCACGCGUGUAGUGAAAUGCGUAGAUAUGCGGAGGAACACCGAUGGCGAAGGCAGCCUCUGGGAUAACAUGACGCUCAUGCUGCAGAAAGCGUGGGAGCAAACAGGAUUAAGAUACCUGGUAGUCCACGCCUAAACGCGAUAUCAACUAGCUGAGCUACAAGGGCCUUUAAUGUUUGUGUGCUUUGCUCUGCAUGAGGGAUAACCGCCUGGGAGUACGUCGCAAAGAUUAAACUCUGAGGAAUUGUGGGAUACUACAAGCGGUGGAUGAUGUGUGGAUUAUUCAGUACGGCACCGAAAAGGAAACUGCCUACCCUUGACAUGUCGAAGGGAAUUUGGGAGUGCUCUGCAGAACCGGAACACAGGUGCUGCAUGGCUGUCGUCAGCUCGUGUCGUGAGAUGUUACUUAAGUCCGCAACGAGCGCAACCUGUCGUGGAUUGCUACGAAAGGGCACUCUAAUGAGACUGCCGGUGACAAACCGGAGGAAAGUACAGGACAACGUCAGAGUCCUCAUGGCCCAUAUAGGUAGGGCUUCACCCGUCUAUACAAUGGUCGGGACGGAGGGUCGCUAACCCGCGAGGAGGCAAUCUGAAACGCCCCGAUCGUGAUGCGGAUCGCAGUCUGCUCGACUGCGUCAGUCAGAAUCUUAAUCGCGGAUCAGCAUGUCGCGGUGAAUACGUUCCCGGGUCUUGCCCGUCACACCAUGGGAGUGGGUUUUACCAGAAGUAGUUAAGCUAACAUGCAAGGAGAGGCGUUACCACGGUAAGUUAGCGGCUGGGGUGAAGUCUCGUAACAAGGU
Molecule: ribosomal RNA, 1411 nt
Filed under: uncultured Bordetella sp.
Lineage: Bacteria; Pseudomonadati; Pseudomonadota; Betaproteobacteria; Burkholderiales; Alcaligenaceae
Description: partial 16S-23S ribosomal RNA intergenic spacer
Rfam family: Bacterial small subunit ribosomal RNA
Source: RNAcentral